AUGCAAGUCGAGCGGUAACAGGGGUAGCUUGCUACCCGCUGACGAGCGGCGGACGGGUGAGUAAUGCAUAGGAAUCUGCCCGAUAGUGGGGGAUAACCUGGGGAAACCCAGGCUAAUACCGCAUACGUCCUACGGGAGAAAGGGGGCUCCGGCUCCCGCUAUUGGAUGAGCCUAUGUCGGAUUAGCUAGUUGGUGAGGUAAUGGCUCACCAAGGCAACGAUCCGUAGCUGGUCUGAGAGGAUGAUCAGCCACAUCGGGACUGAGACACGGCCCGAACUCCUACGGGAGGCAGCAGUGGGGAAUAUUGGACAAUGGGCGAAAGCCUGAUCCAGCCAUGCCGCGUGUGUGAAGAAGGCCUUCGGGUUGUAAAGCACUUUCAGCGAGGAAGAACGCCUAGUGGUUAAUACCCAUUAGGAAAGACAUCACUCGCAGAAGAAGCACCGGCUAACUCCGUGCCAGCAGCCGCGGUAAUACGGAGGGUGCAAGCGUUAAUCGGAAUUACUGGGCGUAAAGCGCGCGUAGGUGGCUUGAUAAGCCGGUUGUGAAAGCCCCGGGCUCAACCUGGGAACGGCAUCCGGAACUGUCAAGCUAGAGUGCAGGAGAGGAAGGUAGAAUUCCCGGUGUAGCGGUGAAAUGCGUAGAGAUCGGGAGGAAUACCAGUGGCGAAGGCGGCCUUCUGGACUGACACUGACACUGAGGUGCGAAAGCGUGGGUAGCAAACAGGAUUAGAUACCCUGGUAGUCCACGCCGUAAACGAUGUCGACCAGCCGUUGGGUGCCUAGCGCACUUUGUGGCGAAGUUAACGCGAUAAGUCGACCGCCUGGGGAGUACGGCCGCAAGGUUAAAACUCAAAUGAAUUGACGGGGGCCCGCACAAGCGGUGGAGCAUGUGGUUUAAUUCGAUGCAACGCGAAGAACCUUACCUACUCUUGACAUCCUGCGAACUUGUGAGAGAUCACUUGGUGCCUUCGGGAACGCAGAGACAGGUGCUGCAUGGCUGUCGUCAGCUCGUGUUGUGAAAUGUUGGGUUAAGUCCCGUAACGAGCGCAACCCUUGUCCUU
Molecule: ribosomal RNA, 1060 nt
Filed under: Halomonas campaniensis
Lineage: Bacteria; Pseudomonadati; Pseudomonadota; Gammaproteobacteria; Oceanospirillales; Halomonadaceae
Description: bacterial SSU rRNA
Rfam family: Bacterial small subunit ribosomal RNA
Source: RNAcentral